This is a small nuclear RNA of Manis pentadactyla (Chinese pangolin), 107 nucleotides long. NCBI's taxonomy places the organism in Eukaryota, Metazoa, Chordata, Mammalia, Pholidota, Manidae. The record is from RefSeq and is a predicted model, not a curated record.
GUUCUUGCUUUGGCAGUACACAGACUAAAACUGGAAUGGUACAGAGAAGAUUAGCAUGGCCCCUGCUCAAGGAUGACAUACGAAUUUGUGAAGCAUUCGAUAUUUUA